GUUCGCUUCUCUGCUUGCCCUUCCUUCACUCUGCACAGUAAGGGACGAUCUGUGGCGUAGGAAAACACUCACUCGAAGGCCACUUGUCUCUGUCUCUUGUCCGCUGCUUUCACGCAUGCGAGCGUCUGGGGAUGACACCGACAGCAGUAGCGGCGUCUUCGUGUUGCCGCUGUUGUUUGCUCUCUGGUUUUUCGUCGGGUCUCCUCUGUUUUUGUGCGUAUGUCUAGGUGUAGGUGUGUCUGCGGGAGCGCUAAGGCAUCCAACCCUCGGAUGAAGCCACGUGACGUCCUCUUCUCUCUUUCCCGUGGCGAUGUGCACAGUGGGCGAAACAGGUGCGCGGCGCGUUGCCAAAACCAAUGACGGGAGCGCUUGUUUCAGUUCUUUUUCCUUUCGAACGAUCUUGGGACUAGGGAAGCGGCGUGUGGUCGCCCUCCAGACUUUUGUGCUGUUUCCCUGCUUUCAAAGCGGUGCUAGUCCUUCAGGCGCUGCAAUGAUGCAUCCUUCGUCUCGUACUCCUCGAUCUCUUAUUCAACUCCGCCUAUGCCUCUGUUUCUUCUCAUAACCAUGCGUUUUUUUUUUUUUACACUGGCCUGCUCAUUGCCUCCUUCGCGGAACCGCGGACGACGAUAUUCUUCAUUGCCCCACCCUCCUUCUCGGCCUUUGGUAUCAUCACCAACAACACCGCAUGUACAG
RNAcentral lists this unclassified non-coding RNA (693 nucleotides) under Leishmania donovani. RNAcentral's name for it is "gene:unknown". Lineage: Eukaryota; Euglenozoa; Kinetoplastea; Trypanosomatida; Trypanosomatidae. The record is from RNAcentral.